Molecule: long non-coding RNA, 246 nt
Filed under: Pan troglodytes (chimpanzee)
Lineage: Eukaryota; Metazoa; Chordata; Mammalia; Primates; Hominidae
Description: long non-coding RNA NONPTRT005711
Source: RNAcentral
UCCCUGCCCACAGACCACUGCCCCGGCCCCCCCAACACACAUCACUUUGCCGGUGUGUGUGCACAGGCAGAUCUUGCUUGAGCACCCGAUUCAUAAAGCAAGUUCUUAGAGACCUUCAAAGAGAUGUAGAGUUCUACACCAUAAUAGUGGGAGAGCUUAACACCCCACUGACAGUAUUAGAAAGAUCAUCAAGGCAAAAUCAAAGCUGAAUGGCAGGAGAUUGAGACACGAAAAACCAUUCAAAAC